Molecule: long non-coding RNA, 284 nt
Filed under: Pogona vitticeps (central bearded dragon)
Lineage: Eukaryota; Metazoa; Chordata; Lepidosauria; Squamata; Agamidae
Description: lncRNA (ENSPVIG00000008498.1)
Source: RNAcentral
UCCUAAUAUGGAGAUGCAACAAUGGACAAUGCUGGAGCUUGGGGGGAUCCUUUUGCUGUUAAAAGAAAAAGUGUCCUGGGAUGGAACAAGAAUCAGGUGCAGUGGCACAAAUAGAAGACAAGCACCAGUGGGACACCCCUCUAUUGCAAAUUGGACUGAACAUUAAACAACAGAAAAUCUGCCUCUGGCUUUGUCAGCCUCAUCCAUGGUUCAACACUGCAACUGCAAGAAAGUGUUCAACAGGGUUAAUGCCAGAUAAAUUCCCUCCAAAACAAGGUUUGCAA